This 490-nucleotide ribosomal RNA is filed under the name uncultured bacterium. RNAcentral's name for it is "partial 16S ribosomal RNA". It matches the Rfam family "Bacterial small subunit ribosomal RNA", at positions 355 to 835 of the family's 1533-position model. The record is from RNAcentral.
UGGGGAAUCUUCCGCAAUGGACGAAAGUCUGACGGAGCAACGCCGCGUGUAUGAUGAAGGUCUUCGGAUUGUAAAGUACUGUCAUUGGGGAAGAACGGUUUUCUUGAAAAGAUUGAGAAGACAUGACGGUACCCAAGGAGGAAGCCCCGGCUAACUACGUGCCAGCAGCCGCGGUAAUACGUAGGGGGCAAGCGUUGUCCGGAAAUUAUUGGGCGUAAAGGGCGCGUAGGCGGGCCUUUAAGUCCGGUGUGAAAGAUCAGGGCUCAACCCUGAGAGUGCAUCGGAAACUGGAGGCCUUGAGGACAGGAGAGGAAAGUGGAAUUCCACGUGUAGCGGUGAAAUGCGUAGAUAUGUGGAGGAACACCAGUGGCGAAGGCGACUUUCUGGACUGUAACUGACGCUGAGGCGCGAAAGCGUGGGGAGCAAACAGGAUUAGAUACCCUGGUAGUCCACGCCGUAAACGAUGAGUGCUAGGUGUAGAGGGUAUCGA